This 509-nucleotide ribosomal RNA is filed under the name uncultured bacterium. RNAcentral's name for it is "bacterial SSU rRNA". It matches the Rfam family "Bacterial small subunit ribosomal RNA", at positions 28 to 521 of the family's 1533-position model. The record is from RNAcentral.
GACGAACGCUGGCGGCGUGCCUAAUACAUGCAAGUCGAGCGGACCAAAGGGAGCUUGCUCCUGGAGGUUAGCGGCGAACGGGUGAGUAACACGUGGGCAACCUGCCUGUAAGACUGGGAUAACAUCGAGAAAUCGGUGCUAAUACCGGAUAAUAAAAAGAACUGCAUGGUUCUUUUUUGAAAGAUGGUUUCGGCUAUCACUUACAGAUGGGCCCGCGGCGCAUUAGCUAGUUGGUGAGGUAACGGCUCACCAAGGCGACGAUGCGUAGCCGACCUGAGAGGGUGAUCGGCCACACUGGGACUGAGACACGGCCCAGACUCCUACGGGAGGCAGCAGUAGGGAAUCUUCCACAAUGGACGAAAGUCUGACGGAGCAACGCGCGUGAGUGAUGAAGGUUUUCGGAUCGUAAAACUCUGUUGUUAGGGAAGAACAAGUGCCGUUCGAAAGGGCGGCACCUUGACGGUACCUAACGAGAAAGCCACGGCUAACUACGUGCCAGCAGCCGCGGU